AUACGGAGGGUGCGAGCGUUAAUCGGAAUUACUGGGCGUAAAGCGUGCGUAGGCGGUUUGCUAAGUCAGAUGUGAAAGCCCCGGGCUUAACCUGGGAACUGCAUUUGAUACUGGCAGACUAGAGUAUGAUAGAGGGGGGUAGAAUUCCUGGUGUAGCGGUGAAAUGCGUAGAUAUCAGGAGGAAUACCAGUGGCGAAGGCGGCCCCCUGGAUAAAUACUGACGCUGAGGUACGAAAGCGUGGGGAGCGAACAGGAUUAGAAACCCUAGUAGUCC
Molecule: ribosomal RNA, 274 nt
Filed under: uncultured bacterium
Lineage: Bacteria
Description: partial 16S ribosomal RNA
Rfam family: Bacterial small subunit ribosomal RNA
Source: RNAcentral